AUGCUGGUCAUUCGUGGCUGCUGCUUAUCCUUCUGUGGCUGUGAAAGCACGGGAACAUUAGCUUUUUACAAUUCUGCUCUGCAGAUGCCCCAGCCACACAGGCUGGCGUCGCCUUUAGUAAGGACGGGACGUCUGGUGUCGAGCUCAGAGGAGCGUGUGCUCCCAGAACAGGGGUGUCGUCCGGGGCAGGGGCAGGCGGGGCGCCGUGACUUCCUGGACCGCCUGUGCAGGCCCUUCUCCAGGCAGCCCCGCCGCUGGACUGGGCCGCGAGUGUGGGAGCGGGGGGGCCUUUGGAGAAGGCCAGGCGCGCAUCUUAGUCACUUGUCUGCAGUGGGUACCCCUGGCUGUGAGGCCUCAGGCACCCUCACCCCUCCUGCGACAGACGGUCAGGUCUGGGGCGCAGAAACGGGGUGCAGGGGGCACGCAGCCAGCACUGCCACAGCCUCCGUGCCAGAGACCCAAGCCCGCCUGCAGCUGGGGACAGGUCUGCGCUCCGGGCGUGCAAGUGCCAUCCCCCAGGGGAGCAAGCGGGCAGGACAGCACAGCACGGUCACCACCCUCAGCGCCCCAGCUCCUGGGGAGGGUUUCGCCACUGGAAGAAAGGAUACGCGUGCGGAGGCCGAGUGGUGUGUUUCCCCUUUUGCCUUCCUGGGGUUGGUUUGGUGCCUGUGUUGGCAGAGAUGGGGCCAUGGGGGGGGGGGGCUGUGGGACACUUUGAGCUCAGGGUGCUCCGUGGCACGAACCACGUGGUGGGAGGGUCACCGCGUCCCCAGGAAGGAAGACGUUCGCCCGGGUCAGCGCCGCCUCGUGUGGCUCCGCUCGCCACCGCAGUGGACCCUGGCGAGCAUCCCGCGGGCAGCGCGCGACCGUCUCGGGUCGGCCGACGGUUGGGGUGGACACCUGCUCGGUGACCGUGCAAGACGCCGGCCUGGCUGCCCCACUGCUUGCAAAGGCCCCCUGGGCCCAAGCGGGUUUGAAAGCCAGUGUUCCCAACUGCCGUGCUGGCUGUGCGGCAGCCGUGUGAGGCCCCAGACGGCAUCUGGCCGUCGGAGGUUGAUGCUUGUGGGCUAA
This 1071-nucleotide long non-coding RNA is filed under the name Sus scrofa (pig). Its description in RNAcentral is "lncRNA (ENSSSCG00070003413.1)". Lineage: Eukaryota; Metazoa; Chordata; Mammalia; Artiodactyla; Suidae. The record is from RNAcentral.